UAAUUGAAGAGUUUGAUCAUGGCUCAGAUUGAACGCUGGCGGCAGGCCUAACACAUGCAAGUCGAGCGGUAACAGGGGAAGCUUGCUUCUCGCUGACGAGCGGCGGACGGGUGAGUAAUGUAUGGGGAUCUGCCUGAUAGAGGGGGAUAACUACUGGAAACGGUAGCUAAUACCGCAUAAUCUCUCAGGAGCAAAGCAGGGGAACUUCGGUCCUUGCGCUAUCGGAUGAACCCAUAUGGGAUUAGCUAGUAGGUGAGGUAAU
RNAcentral lists this ribosomal RNA (262 nucleotides) under Providencia rettgeri. Its description in RNAcentral is "partial 16S ribosomal RNA". It matches the Rfam family "Bacterial small subunit ribosomal RNA", at positions 1 to 261 of the family's 1533-position model. The record is from RNAcentral. Lineage: Bacteria; Pseudomonadati; Pseudomonadota; Gammaproteobacteria; Enterobacterales; Morganellaceae.